RNAcentral lists this long non-coding RNA (206 nucleotides) under Prunus persica (peach). RNAcentral describes it as "long non-coding RNA (PPER_LNC002891)". The record is from RNAcentral. Lineage: Eukaryota; Viridiplantae; Streptophyta; Magnoliopsida; Rosales; Rosaceae.
UUCCAUAGUGGAAUUCUAUCGGAUUUACUUGGCUAAUCAAUGAACGUGAUGUCUUGAACUGUUCAGCCAACCCAGACAAUAGCACUCACACAAUAUCCUCCUAAACAUAUUUGGUUUGAUCGGUUGUGCUCGUUUUGGCCCUGAGCAAUUCCUGGUAUUCAUGAGAGCUUUAGAGAAUUCAAGCCUUAAAAAAUUCUCAUAGAAAC